AGCGAACGCUGGCGGCGUGCCUAACACAUGCAAGUCGAACGUGAAAGGGAGCAAUCCUGAGUAAAGUGGCGUACGGGUGAGUAACGCGUAGGUAAUCUACCCCAGAGUCUGGAAUAACCUGCCGAAAGGCGGGCUAAUACUGGAUAGAGCGACGGAAUCCGUAAUUGGGUUUUUCGGGAAAGGGAGGAAGCAAUUCCCUUCGCUCUGGGAUGAGCCUGCGUCUCAUUAGCUAGUUGGUGGGUAAAGGCCCACCAAGGCAUUGAUGAGUAGCUGGUCUGAGAGGAUGAUCAGCCACACUGGAACUGAAACACGGUCCAGACUCCUACGGGAGGCAGCAGUGGGGAAUCUUGCGCAAUGGACGAAAGUCUGACGCAGCCACGCCGCGUGAGUGAAGAA
Molecule: ribosomal RNA, 396 nt
Filed under: uncultured bacterium
Lineage: Bacteria
Description: bacterial SSU rRNA
Rfam family: Bacterial small subunit ribosomal RNA
Source: RNAcentral